RNAcentral lists this ribosomal RNA (434 nucleotides) under uncultured bacterium. RNAcentral describes it as "partial 16S ribosomal RNA". It matches the Rfam family "Bacterial small subunit ribosomal RNA", at positions 29 to 507 of the family's 1533-position model. The record is from RNAcentral.
AGCGAACGCUGGCGGCAGGCCUAACACAUGCAAGUCGAACGAACCUUUCGGGGUUAGUGGCGGACGGGUGAGUAACACGUGGGAACGUGCCUUUAGGUUCGGAAUAACUCAGGGAAACUUGUGCUAAUACCGAAUGUGCCCUUCGGGGGAAAGAUUAAUCGCCUUUAGAGCGGCCCGCGUCUGAUUAGCUAGUUGGUUGAGGUAAUGGCUCACCAAGGCGACGAUCAGUAGCUGGUCUGAGAGGAUGAUCAGCCACAUUGGGACUGAGACACGGCCCAAACUCCUACGGGAAGCAGCAGUGGGGAAUCUUGCGCAAUGGGCGAAAGCCUGACGCAGCCAUGCCGCGUGAAUGAUGAAGGUCUUAGGAUUGUAAAAUUCUUUCACCGGGGGCGAUAAUGACGGUACCCGGAGAAGAAGCCCCGGCUAACUUCGUG